UACGUAGGUGGCAAGCGUUGUCCGGAAUUAUUGGGCGUAAAGCGCGUGUAGGCGGUCCGGUAAGUCCGCUGUGAAAGUCGGGGGCUCAACCCUCGGAUGCCGGUGGAUACUGUCGGGCUUGAGUACGGAAGAGGCGAGUGGAAUUCCUGGUGUAGCGGUGAAAUGCGCAGAUAUCAGGAGGAACACCAAUUGCGAAGGCAGCUCGCUGGGACGUUACUGACGCUGAGACGCGAAAGCGUGGGGAGCAAACAGG
This 253-nucleotide ribosomal RNA is filed under the name uncultured bacterium. Its description in RNAcentral is "partial 16S ribosomal RNA". It matches the Rfam family "Bacterial small subunit ribosomal RNA", at positions 524 to 776 of the family's 1533-position model. The record is from RNAcentral.